UUUAUGGAGAGUUUGAUCCUGGCUCAGGAUGAACGCUGGCGGCGUGCCUAAUACAUGCAAGUCGAGCGAACGGACGAGAAGCUUGCUUCUCUGAUGUUAGCGGCGGACGGGUGAGUAACACGUGGAUAACCUACCUAUAAGACUGGGAUAACUUCGGGAAACCGGAGCUAAUACCGGAUAAUAUUUUGAACCGCAUGGUUCAAAAGUGAAAGACGGUCUUGCUGUCACUUAUAGAUGGAUCCGCGCUGCAUUAGCUAGUUGGUAAGGUAACGGCUUACCAAGGCAACGAUGCAUAGCCGACCUGAGAGGGUGAUCGGCCACACUGGAACUGAGACACGGUCCAGACUCCUACGGGAGGCAGCAGUAGGGAAUCUUCCGCAAUGGGCGAAAGCCUGACGGAGCAACGCCGCGUGAGUGAUGAAGGUCUUCGGAUCGUAAAACUCUGUUAUUAGGGAAGAACAUAUGUGUAAGUAACUGUGCACAUCUUGACGGUACCUAAUCAGAAAGCCACGGCUAACUAC
Molecule: ribosomal RNA, 521 nt
Filed under: Staphylococcus aureus
Lineage: Bacteria; Bacillati; Bacillota; Bacilli; Caryophanales; Staphylococcaceae
Description: bacterial SSU rRNA
Rfam family: Bacterial small subunit ribosomal RNA
Source: RNAcentral